GGGCAGCAGUGGUUGUGCUUGGACGGCUGCACCCUGUGGGGAGCAGGGAUGGGUGGGCCUGGCCGAGGCGAGCCCCUGCAUGGGAGGGUCCCCCUGUGCUGGCGCUGGGCCCCAGUCCCGGGGUCCUGUAGGCUGGGCUCAGUGAGACCUUGGGCUCAGCUUCCAGCUCACAUCUGUCAGUGAGGUUGGGGGUAACCUCGGCCCCUCCGGAUGCUGUGAGCAGUCAGGGGUCCUGGUGCCAUCUGUGGGGUGGGAGUGCCCAGCAUGAGUCUGCACAUAGAACCCCCCUUCCUGGGGGCCCCUCCCUGGGGCAUGGGUGGCCCCAGAUGCUGCCUGGAGACCACUGCGCAACCUGAAACCCCCACGUCCUUCCCAGCGACGCUUCCCUGACUUCUCCUACAUCACCCAGAAUGGCCGCCUGACAGACUUCCUGGACUGCGUGAUCAUUAGCCACUUCCACCUGGACCACUGCGGGGCACUCCCCUACUUCAGCGAGAUGGUGGGCUACGACGGGCCCAUCUACAUGACCCACCCCACCCAGGCCAUCUGCCCCAUCUUGCUGGAGGACUACCGCAAGAUCGCCGUGGACAAGAAGGGCGAGGCCAACUUCUUCACCUCCCAGAUGAUCAAAGACUGCAUGAAGAAGGUGGUGGCUGUCCACCUCCACCAGACGGUCCAGGUAGACGAUGAGCUGGAGAUCAAGGCCUACUAUGCAGGCCAUGUGCUGGGGGCAGCCAU
This 738-nucleotide small RNA is filed under the name Pongo abelii (Sumatran orangutan). RNAcentral's name for it is "retained intron". Lineage: Eukaryota; Metazoa; Chordata; Mammalia; Primates; Hominidae. The record is from RNAcentral.